Molecule: long non-coding RNA, 441 nt
Organism: Puntigrus tetrazona (Sumatra barb)
Lineage: Eukaryota; Metazoa; Chordata; Actinopteri; Cypriniformes; Cyprinidae
Exons: 3
Source: RefSeq, a predicted model, not a curated record
CAGGCCUCCGUCUUAGAAACGAGCAGGACGUGCGACGGGCCGCUCGACAUAAACUGGAUGAGCUCCUGAAAGCACGGCUGGGAGAACACACACGCUUCUCAUCACGCACCAUCAGCAAAAAACCCUCCGAAACUAACUCACCGGCGCGCGGGCCGCCCCGUGCUCCAGGACGCUCUUCUCUUUGCUCAGCUCUUCCUGUAUGAGCCUCUGCAGGACAGGAGCGUUCGGUCCCCUCAGAACAGACACCAGCUGGCCGCCCUGCAGCAAGUACAGCACCUUCACGUCACACAGUUCAGUCUGAGCAUACGAGCUUCAAUCCCAUCAGCCUCGGCCUGCAGGGACGACAGAGAUGUCCACAUUUAAAAAGACUGUCUGUGUGCGAUCUAAUCUCCAGAGAGGCUUGUCUUACCGUGGCAAAAUGCAGCAGCUCGUCUCCCAGCU